This 253-nucleotide ribosomal RNA is filed under the name uncultured bacterium. RNAcentral describes it as "partial 16S ribosomal RNA". It matches the Rfam family "Bacterial small subunit ribosomal RNA", at positions 524 to 776 of the family's 1533-position model. The record is from RNAcentral.
UACGGAGGGCGCAAGCGUUGUUCGGAAUCACUGGGCGUAAAGCGCGUGUAGGCGGCUUGGUAAGUCGGGUGUGAAAGCCCGGAGCUCAACUCCGGAACUGCAUUCGAAACUACCUCGCUCGAGUCCCGGAGAGGGUGGUGGAAUUCCCGGUGUAGAGGUGAAAUUCGUAGAUAUCGGGAGGAACCCGAGUGGCGAAGGCGGCCACCUGGACGGUGACUGACGCUGAGACGCGAACGCGUGGGGAGCAAACAGG